UGUUAAAAUUUUUAUCUAUUUAUAUUGUUAAAAACUAGCAUAACUAAUGAAAUUACUAACUAAUGACAUAUAGCAUGCUAGCGUACCUCAUGCUAAAAUGCAUAAAUCAUUUUUUAACAGUAGAAAUAGAUGAAAUUUUUAAACG
Non-coding RNA from Gossypium raimondii (Peruvian cotton), 145 nucleotides. The record is from Rfam. NCBI's taxonomy places the organism in Eukaryota, Viridiplantae, Streptophyta, Magnoliopsida, Malvales, Malvaceae.